This 66-nucleotide transfer RNA is filed under the name Allofournierella massiliensis. It matches the Rfam family "tRNA". From Rfam's summary of the family: Transfer RNA (tRNA) molecules are approximately 80 nucleotides in length. Their secondary structure includes four short double-helical elements and three loops (D, anti-codon, and T loops). Further hydrogen bonds mediate the characteristic L-shaped molecular structure. tRNAs have two regions of fundamental functional importance: the anti-codon, which is responsible for specific mRNA codon recognition, and the 3' end, to which the tRNAs corresponding amino acid is attached (by aminoacyl-tRNA synthetases). tRNAs cope with the degeneracy of the genetic code in two manners: having more than one tRNA (with a specific anti-codon) for a particular amino acid; and 'wobble' base-pairing, i.e. permitting non-standard base-pairing at the 3rd anti-codon position. The record is from RNAcentral. RNAcentral also lists the same sequence under 5 other names. Lineage: Bacteria; Bacillati; Bacillota; Clostridia; Eubacteriales; Oscillospiraceae.
GGAGUGGCUCAGUCGGUAGAGCAGCUGAUUCGUAAUCAGCAGGUCGUCGGUUCAAGUCCGAUCUCC